RNAcentral lists this ribosomal RNA (503 nucleotides) under uncultured bacterium. RNAcentral's name for it is "partial 16S ribosomal RNA". It matches the Rfam family "Bacterial small subunit ribosomal RNA", at positions 29 to 523 of the family's 1533-position model. The record is from RNAcentral.
AACGAACGCUGGCGGCACGUUUUAAGCAUGCAAGUCGAAUGGCAGUGGGGGCAACCCCAUGAGAAUGGCGUACGGGUGAGUAACACGUAGGUGAUCUGCCUGACGGAUGGGGAUAGCUUGUGGAAACACAGGGUAAUACCGAAUGAGCUGACGAGACUUUGGUUUUGUUAGUAAAGGUGCUACGGCACCGCCGACAGAGGAGCCUGCGGCUGAUUAGCUAGCUGGUGGGGUAAAGGCCUACCAAGGCGACGAUCAGUAGCCGGCCUGAGAGGGUGUACGGCCACACUGGAACUGAGACACGGUCCAGACUCCUACGGGAGGCAGCAGCUAAGAAUCUUCCGCAAUGGGCGAAAGCCUGACGGAGCGAUGCCGCGUGAUCGAUGAAGGUCGAGAGAUUGUAAAGAUCUUUUCUACAUGAGGAAUAAGUCUGGGAGGGAAUGCCUGGAUGAUGACGUUAGUGUAGGAAUAAGCCCCGGCUAAUUACGUGCCAGCCGCCGCGGUAA